This 439-nucleotide ribosomal RNA is filed under the name uncultured bacterium. RNAcentral describes it as "partial 16S ribosomal RNA". It matches the Rfam family "Bacterial small subunit ribosomal RNA", at positions 339 to 795 of the family's 1533-position model. The record is from RNAcentral.
CUACGGGCGGCAGCAGUGAGGAAUAUUGCACAAUGGGGGGAACCCUGAUGCAGCAACGCCGCGUGGAGGACGACGCAUUUCGGUGUGUAAACUCCUUUUAUAUGUCAAGAAAAUGACGGUAGCAUAUGAAUAAGCACCGGCUAACUCCGUGCCAGCAGCCGCGGUAAUACGGAGGGUGCAAGCGUUACUCGGAAUCACUGGGCGUAAAGGACGCGUAGGCGGGCUUGUAAGUCAGGUGUGAAAUCCUACAGCUUAACUGUAGAACUGCACUUGAAACUACGAGCCUAGAGUAUGGGAGGGGCAGAUGGAAUUAGUGGUGUAGGGGUAAAAUCCGUAGAUAUCACUGGGAAUACCUAAAGCGAAGGCGAUCUGCUGGAACAUAACUGACGCUAAGGCGUGAAAGCGUGGGGAGCAAACAGGAUUAGAUACCCCUGUAGUC